AGGACACGGAUUCGCCCUGGGAAAGAAUACCUAGGCGGCUCGGCAACGUAGGUCUCCGUGUCGGGUCACGGCAAUCCAAAGGUCGCACCUUUCGCCUCCGGCGCUAGGGUUUCGUCCCCCCCCAAUUCGGGGAAGGUCCGCGACAGCACGAGGUGAUUUUUCUUUGAAGCUGUGACGUGGGAGAUGCCGCCGAAGUCUAGGAGAGGCGGCGCCGCCGCGGCGAGGAAGGCGCCGGCAACGAGGGGGCGGGUUGGGAGGCCGCAGGCUGCUGCGGAGGAGGCGCCGCUCGUGGAGGAGGUGAAGGAGGCGCCCGCCGAGGAGGUGAAGGUCGCCGAGGAAGCCCAGAAGAUGGUCGAGGAGCUGAAGCGCCAGCCAUCGGCGCCGCCGCUGUCGCAACAGCCGGAGGUGGAGGAGAAAGGCUCCGAUGCCACAGCCAACGGUGCCAACCACGCGGAAGAUGAGGGAGCUGUGAAAGAAACAUAUGAAGAAGAGGACAAAGGUGAACGACUAGAGUUUGAGGACGAACCAGAAUACGAAGAGGAGGCUGCUGUGGACUACGAGGAGAAAGAUUUGGAGCAUUAUGAAGAACAAUAUGAGGAUGGUGAUGAAGAGGUGGAGUAUACUGAAGAUGUGGUUGAAGUGGAGACUGAUAUGGCUGAUGAGGAACUUGAUGAAGGUGGCGAUGAUGGCGAAGGGGAAGGAUAUGAAAAUGCUGAUGAAGAACAUCAUGUGGAUGUGGAUAACGAAGAGCAUAGUGAAAUGGUCAAAGAGCACCGCAAGCGGAAGGAGUUUGAAGUUUUUGUUGGUGGGCUAGAUAAAGAUGCAACAGAAAAUGACCUUAGGAAGGUUUUUGGUGAAGUUGGUGAUAUAACUGAAGUUCGCCUCAUGAUGAAUCCUGUCACAAAGAAGAACAAAGGCUUUGCCUUCCUGCGAUAUGCAACUGUGGAGCAAGCAAGGCGUGCUGUUUCAGAGCUAAAGAAUCCACUGGUGCGGGGUAAACAGUGCGGUGUUGCACCAAGUCAUGAUAAUGAUACACUCUUCGUUGGCAAUAUCUGCAAAACAUGGACAAAAGAACAUUUGAAGGACAAACUGAAGAGUUAUGGAGUUGAGAAUUUUGAUGAUUUACUACUGGUAGAGGAUAGCAAUAAUCCAGGAAUGAAUCGUGGCUAUGCUUUGCUCGAGUUUUCUACUCGACCUGAAGCAAUGGAUGCUUUCAGGAUAUUGCAGAAAAGGGAUGUGGUUUUUGGAGUUGAUCGUAGUGCAAAGGUUUCCUUUGCUGAUUCCUACCCCAAAGUUGACGAUGAAAUAAUGGCACAGGUCAAAACUGUAUUUAUUGAUGGCCUUUCUCCCUCAUGGGAUGAAGACCGAGUUAAGAAAUAUCUCAAAAAAUAUGGAGCUAUUGAGCAAGUGGAACUUGCUCGAAAUAUGCCGGCUGCCAAGAGAAAGGAUUUUGGGUUUGUUACCUUUGAUACUCAUGAUAAUGCUGUUGCAUGUGCCGAAGGGAUAAACAAUUGUGAGAUUGGUGAAGGUGAUCACAAGGCAAAAGUAAGAGCUAGAUUGUCACGACCCCUACAGCGGCCUCCUAGAAUGAAGCAUGGGUUAAGAGGAAAUUUUAGAGUUGGGCAUGGUGCUUCCCGAGGUGACCGUCUACCGUAUGCUCGCCCUCCUCCACCUCGCAGGCCUCCACCACGUCUUGUUCGGCCUGCUGUCGGCCGCUUACCACCCAUCAGGAGCCAUCCAUUGAAGAGGCCUGUUGAUAUUAGAGAUAGGCGGCCUGUUAUGUCAAUGCCAGAUAGAGCUAGGCGUUUGCCCCCUCCAGAGAGAUCUUAUGACAGGAGGCCUCCAGCUCCAGUUUACCCAAAGAGAAGUCCAAGGAGAGAAUACGUCAGGCGUGACGAGCUUCCUCCUCCAAGGAGCAGAGCUGCACUUGACUACAGCCCAAGAGUUCCAGUUGAUAGACGUCCCACUUUCAGGGAUGAUUAUUCACCCCAGGGAUCAGGUUACUCAGACCUAGGUCCACGUAGUGCUCCUCGUCUUUCUGAUAGGCGAGCAUAUCCUGAUGAUAGUUAUGGUGGGAAGUUUGACCGGCCUUUACUGGCAUAUAGGGAGAGUCGGGGCCGUGAUUAUGACACCAUUUCCGGAUCAAAGCGUCCAUAUGCUGAUAUGGAUGAUGUGCCUCGGUAUCAAGACAUCAGUGUUCGUCAGUCCAAGGCACGGUUGAACUAUGACGUUGGUGGUAGCAGUGCUCGGUAUGGUGACACAUAUAGUGAGAGACCUGGACGAUCACAUGUGGGAUAUAGUGGCAGUCGAUCUAUCUCUGGUCAUGAUUCAGCAUAUGGUAGCAGCCGUCAUGGCGUGAGUUAUGGAGGUUCUGCUAGCGGUGGUGAUGCUACUGGAAUGUACUCAUCAGGUUACAGUGGUAGCUAUGCGUCUCGUGGAUCUGAUGUUGGUGGGAGUUCAUAUUCAUCACUUUACACAUCAGGCCGUAGUUUAGGUAGCGGCAAUGGUGGCUACUAUGGGGGUAGCGGUUCCGGUUCAUAUUACUAAGAUUUGGCAUCAUAGGAGUUGGUGUAGGCCAGCAUUGUAUGGAGCUUCUGAAUUUGAGGCCUACAGAUCUGGAAAAGAAGUGCCAAGUACUCAAGUCUGGCAAUGUUUUCAAAUAAGACAUGUUCAAAGAAGCCAGAGACAUCGAGUUGGUUGAAGCAGUAGUCCGGAGGAUGUUCUGGCUUGUUUAUGUAAUGUAAGGAUUUGCUUUAUUUGGUCAAGAGUUAUGAACAUAAGGGCCAGCUAUGGUGUUUUAUAAGUGUUUCGACAUGUUUACUUCCAGUGUUUCUAUAACCUUAUUGAGACAGAUAUGGAGUGUACUUUGAGGUAGUUUCUGCAAUUCAAGGUUUUUGGAGAUUCCAUCUUGUGAUGUGCUGGCCAAAGAUCAGACUUACAAAUGAAGCUCCACAAGCAGUGCUUCUUGUAAGGCUGCUAGUUUCUGAAAACCUUCUCUUCUUAGCAUGCUUCACCUGUUCUCUAGAGGAUCAAUAUUUGGACAGAAUGUUGAUUGGUCAAGACCAAAAUUCUGGACCCCUUCCAUGUUGGAUUCCAUGGUGUUAUCGGUUGCCAAAUUUUGAGAGAAACUGCUUGUGUGGCUGAUGUAGUUCUUUCACCAAGCAGUUACUUUGGCUUCCCCGAAGUUUAAGAUAACAGAAUUUGCAGCAAAUGGAUAUUUGAAAUUGAGUAUAUCCCUGCAAUACUUUUGACUUUAUAGAACACAAUACGCAAGGCACCAGGUAAACAAGCAGUGCCAAUACUGACCAGCCUGGCUUGAUCACCCACCAUCUAUGAAAUUUCUUUGAACUGCUAUAUGGAGCAUGGGUUAAUAACAUUUUUGAGCUUAAUGGGCAUUGGAUGAUUGCAAGCUUCAAGAAUCUUGCUGGAGGCAUAACACACUAACUGAUCAAAUUGCAGAAAAAGUUUGGUUUAUCUGACACCGCAGUUUCUAUGAUAAUUUUAUUUAGCAUGGGUUAUGACAUAACAUUUAACUUAGUCUUGGGACACUUGGCUUUCAGCCCAUCACACGGGGAUAAAUCUGAUAGGUCAAAUUUUUAUGACUUCAUGAUUGUUUUGCAUAGAUUUUUUUUUUAUAUCAGGACGUCGUACUUUGCUAAGAAUAUACUAGUUUACUGUGUUUCAACAGUAACUAAUGCUGUGUGGGAUUCUGCAAAGCAGAUGAAAGGUACCAAUACCAGCUAUACUGCAUGAGCGCUUACAAACUGCUGGUUCCAUCCUUGUGUGAAUCAUAACAAGGAAAACACAUUCGUAACUUUGAGUUUAUUUGGUCAAUUGAACUAGAAACAGUAACGUUAUUAGGUCCUAAGGUCUAAGGCAUUUAAUUCUGAGUUUAUUUGAUCGAAUGAACUAGGCACAAUAACAUUAUUGGAUCCUGAAUUGGUUUUUGGAAAUUACAUAUUUGUAGUAGUGGCACUGAAUAGGAAGAGAGGCCGGUAUCUAGUAUCAUUGAAGAGGCAGCUUUGAGAUGGCUUUUGCAGUAUUUGGGAACAACAUUUUGUGUGCUUAUCAAUGUACUUUGCCAGCUGGUUGUUUAGUGCUCGUGUUAGUAGUUUGCUGGAAUAGGACUUAAUAAAGGAAAUUGGUUAUGGUGCUAUGAGAUCUAGCAAAACUAUGUUUGGUUGCAUGAAAGGAAUAGUUUAUCCAGCUAUAUGGAAUGGCGUCAUUGAAUUUAGAUACUGGGGGCCAGUAUGUGGGAAUCAAACACCUUGCGACUGUUGAUCUGGUGCCCAUUUGAGAAACAAGGGGUAGAUGGAGAUUGUUAUUUAUUUACAGGGCAUGGAUGAGAUCUGAAAGCAGGCAUGUGAAGGAAACAUUUUUUCUUGAAAAUAGUAAGCACAGGAUACCACAUUGAAGUUCUGAACUGAAGGGUCUUGAAUCCUUUUCAAUUUUUGAAGCAAACACAAAGAGAACCAGCUUACUCUAACUAUAUUUAAUUAAGUACUCAGCCAAAGAUUCAUUGAAGUCAGAUCAAACAAGCUGUCAAAUAUAUCAUUACUAUCUGUUUAGGAAUUCUUAAAUCUGACCAUUUGAGUGUCUAGCACAAUUCCAUUGCUGCUAUCCUGUUUUUCAUGUUUGUAGUAAUGUUACUAUCAAAGAAGCUGUUGAUGCUUAUUAUUUUCUCUUCUUCCCCAGCAUGCUAGCAUUUUUAAUCUUUUAAACUGUACUGCGGUUUAGAUGUUACUUGGUUUUCAUGCUAACCUGGCUUAAAUUGUUUCUUGAGCGCUUUGAGAAAUGUAGCCAGAAUUCUCCUCCCAAGACAAGCAUUGAGCUUGGAACAGGUAGUGUGAUUUUUGUCUUAUGCCUCUAGGUUUGUUUCUUGAAUGGCUUCAUGUGGUAGCUGUGAUGUAUUGCUUUCAUCAGAAUCAGAAUGGUUAAAGUCCACUCCCCUGCGCUUCGCUCUCCGCAUCCCAUGGGAAAAAUAGGAUGCGUGUCGCUCAGCCUGUGCUUUGGCUAUUUUGCAAAAAAGCCCUCCUAUUUUCUGAGAAUGACAAUAGAGCCUAGGUCGUUCGGAUUGUACAGUAAACACAUUUGUAAUUUUUGCAUACAGGUACUCAUAACAAUAUUUAUUUCUAUACAAAGAAGAAAAAAUUCAAGAAUUCUUCUAUUUUUGCGAAACCACCCAAACAUUUUUCAUUUACCCCCUCCCGCCGCACUCGAACCCUAACCCCCUAUCCCUCCUCCCGCCCGCCGUCCACUCUCUCCCUCCUCUCCUGCUCCCCGCCGCCGCCUCCCCUCCCCGUCUCCAUCCCCGCUUGCCUUCGUCGCCUCUUCCCGUCGCCUCCUCUCUCUCUGUACCCGGCGGCGCCUCCUCUCUCUCUCGGUGCCUUCUUCCUCGCGGCGCCCCUCCCCGCCCCUCACCCCUCCGUGCGGCACGGGUCGGCAUGGAUCCAGUGCCUCCUUGCCGGUGGGGCUCCUCCCUUUACCUCUCUGCGCGGCACGGGCCAGCAUGGAUCUGGCGGGCCUAGCGCGGCUGCGCCGCCCACGCCAAGGGGAACAUGCACGAGAGGCGGCGCGACGAACUGUUAUGCAUUGCUCCAUGCGAAGACCUCUUCUGUGUUCGUCCACGCGAAGGCUCGCAGCGAGCAGUGGCCAAGUGGGCCCUGUGCCUCCGACACCCGCCACUCCAGGAGCGCCUCCGACUCCAGAUCUGCGUCGAGGCAUCGCCGAUGAAAGCAAGGCCAAGGUACGUCCGGGCCUUCCUUUCCUCCCUCCUUCCCCUUGGGUACCAACGCCAUGACCUAUAAUCUCUCCCUCCCUCCCUCCCUCCCUCCCUCCCUCUCUCUCCCUGUGUUGCGACAGGAAAGAGAUUUCUCCUCAUUUAAUUCAUCCUCUACUCUGGCAAGUUAUUUUGAUCUAAAAUGUUCAUUCCUCCCUCUUUCCUUGCAGCAGGAAGGGGGAUUUCAUUUUGAUUGGAUUCAUUCUCUUCCUGAAAAAAUUAUAGAUCUGAAAAAUUCCUCAUUGUGGAUGUAGACUGCUUAUCGAUCUUGGAUUCAGGCGUUAAUUUGUUGUAGAAAAUUGAAGCUUUGACCUUGUAUAUGCCAAACUAAUUGUGCUAGGAACAGGUACUCGUGUUUCCUGUCUUCGUUUUCAGAUGUAUCUUAGUAAAAAAAAAGGUAACUUGGAUAUAUCUUUGGGUGGCUACUUAUUUAGGCCUGCAUUUUCUUUGAUGGACAGGUUGCUUGCCUAUUACUUUCUUCUUUCUGAUAUAGUAUGUGGGGUAUCAUUUAGCCUCUCCAUCUUGGAUCAAGUUCCCCUUUCCUUCACUGUGUUUGCACUUUAAUGGUCAAUAGUCUUAGCGUUCUAUAUUUGGGUUUUUAGGUACUGCAUUUCCAUUUAUCUUUUUGUAGUAUUUGUACUCAAGCUAGACAUCGAUGUGUGGACAGAGUAGACAAAGCUACUCAUUCUGAAAAAUGAUGAUAUCAGUCAUUAUGGAACAGUUUGAAGGGCGAGCGCAACUCUAUAUUUUUCGGCAUUGCAAAUGAUGAAUUCAAUUCAAAUAAUUUUGUUUGCUCCUUUGGCUUCAAAUCUGUAAAAGAUCCUAGGCAAGCAAUUCUGCUGCCAUGUUACAGUUUAUUUACCUAUCCUUUCAGUCAUACUCCAUUCUAAGGAAUACUGAUUCUUGCUAAUUCGAACUCUAGCCUCUAGGUCCAGCGAAUAGACCACAUGACCUUUGUUGGGUUGCUAAAAAUUUCAGGUGUUGUGCCUUGCAGGGUACUAUUGUCUCCUAUAGCCACUCUGGUGGACCAGAUAGCAAGAUUCUCUUGGCCUGCUUUGUUCUUAAGCAUGCUAUAAAUUUUGUUAAAUUAGAUGUGAAAACUGGAGCGGCAAUGCAAUUUUAUUUUAACCAAAUGAAUUAAUAGACAAUCUGUUUUGGAAUCAUGUUCUCUUCUGGCUGAUAAAUUAAAUGGGAUUUACAGUUACCGAUGACCAUGCAUCUUUCUUUCUAAAUGUCUUGCUCUUUUAGGUGUCUUUGCUGCUUUUUUUUAAUUGCCUAAACUAUUUCAGACGUUGAUCAGACAUUUGUUGAGACAUGUAUCCUUAACUCCUCAGGUAAUUGCAAAACAACUUGAGAAUGAUGCACACUCAUGCUAUGCUAAUGGAACAUUUAAAUUAAAGAAUGUUCAUGCACCACAUGGAUAUAUUGUGAGAAUUCCUGUUCUUAAAAAUUAAAUAUUGUAUAAGUUCAUCCGGUUGAAAGCCAUCAGAUGAGCAAUUGUAUAUGUUCAACUGGUGACUUCUUAACCUUUUGCCAUUCACAUUGGUACAAAGGAAAAAAAAACAGUACACAAGAAAGAGGUUGACCUCACUAAAAUGAUAAUUUUAAUGUUAGUUUGCCUGGAGACAAUUACUCUAUCGAAUGAGUUUUGUUAAUGUACACCGGGGCUCCAAGUUUUAUGUGGUCUAGAAUUGAACAAUUUUUUUGUGCCUUUACGUGUUGAUGACAAAUUUACUAUGAUCAAUGUAUUUGUAUGCAGCAGAUUAAGGUGAUCAUGUUCUGUCCAUUUGGUUCCGGAAGCUCAUUACAUAUGCCUACAGUGGGAAGAAACUCUUAUUGAGUCUUCUUCAGUGAGGGAUGCCAUACUGUAGAGAUAACUUCCUUGUGGGCUCAAAUUUCAAUGGCAAAGGUCCUCCAAUCUCCCUGUCAGCGCAUGCUUCGAGAUGCCAUGAAUUUUAGCUAGACCCGCAAUACUUCUCUGUAUUUGCUCAAGCUGGUGUGCCCGGAUAUGUGCAGUAUUUGGGUUUGUUAGGGAUCUGAUCGGAAUGAGUACAUUCCAAGCAGGGAUGCAUGAGCAGUGAAGCUCAUGUUGAUUUUGUCUCUACCAGUUGUGGCCAGCUUUUGUGUACCCUUUGUCUCCAGCAAGAAGGGUCCGAUGCUUAGGAUUUGGAGUCUGCAUGGACCUCAUCUCGCAAACUCAUAUCCUGAUGAUAGGAUAAAUUUGUGCUUGGAUGUAGACAUGGUGAUCGGAUGCGAUGUGAUGUCCAUGAUUGAGAUGCCGGACAAACACGUAGUGCAUAGGGGAGCUUGGUGCUCGGAUGUCUUCUAAUAUUCAUUAUUCUGAUGUCGGACAGACACCUAAUGGCUAAGAUAGUUUGGAGCACAGAUGUGCCGUAAUAUUUAUGAUUCAAAUGCUGGAUAGAUACCUAUAUUAAUAUGUUGAAGAUGUGCUUCCUCCUAGAUAUAGUACUUUCAUAUUAAGAUACACAUAAUUUGAUUGUCGCUUUUUAUUAGCUUAUGGUUACUAGCAUUUGAUUGUUCAAACUGUAGGGCGCGCAUCGCGCGCCGGAUGUUCUAGUGUUACUGAUUUGAGCUUGUAUAAGAACACUGUGACCAUGGAAUGAACCAAAUGUACAAAAUAUGGUGUGUUUAUGAGAAA
Molecule: RNA transcript, 8438 nt
Organism: Panicum virgatum (switchgrass)
Lineage: Eukaryota; Viridiplantae; Streptophyta; Magnoliopsida; Poales; Poaceae
Exons: 15
Source: RefSeq, a predicted model, not a curated record